AUAUUCUGUGAGCAGGAAAGCAGGGGAUCGCAAGACCUUGCGCUGAUUGAGCGGCCGAUAUCAGAUUAGCUUGUUGGUGAGGUAAAAGCUCACCAAGGCGACGAUCUGUAGCGGGUCUGAGAGGAUGAUCCGCCACACUGGAACUGAGACACGGUCCAGACUCCUACGGGAGGCAGCAGUGGGGAAUUUUGGACAAUGGGGGCAACCCUGAUCCAGCCAUGCCGCGUGGGUGAAGAAGGCCUUCGGGUUGUAAAGCUCUUUCAGCCGGGAAGAAAACGCAUGGGUUAAUACCCUGUGUGGAUGACGGUACCGGAAUAAGAAGCACCGGCUAACUACGUGCCAGCAGCCGCGGUAAUACGUAGGGUGCGAGCGUUAAUCGGAAUUACUGGGCGUAAAGCGUGCGCAGGCGGUUUUGUAAGACAGGCGUGAAAUCCCCGGGCUUAACCUGGGAACUGCGUUUGUGACUGCAAGGCUAGAGUACGGCAGAGGGGGGUGGAAUUCCACGUGUAGCAGUGAAAUGCGUAGAGAUGUGGAGGAACACCAAUGGCGAAGGCAGCCCCCUGGGUCGAUACUGACGCUCAUGCACGAAAGCGUGGGUAGCAAACAGGAUUAGAUACCCUGGUAGUCCACGCCCUAAACGAUGUCAACUAGGUGUUGGGAGGGUAAAACCUUUUAGUACCGGAGCUAACGCGUGAAGUUGACCGCCUGGGGAGUACGGCCGCAAGGUUAAAACUCAAAGGAAUUGACGGGGACCCGCACAAGCGGUGGAUGAUGUGGAUUAAUUCGAUGCAACGCGAAAAACCUUACCUACCCUUGACAUGCCAAGAACUUUCCAGAGAUGGAUUGGUGCCCGAAAGGGAACUUGGACACAGGUGCUGCAUGGCUGUCGUCAGCUCGUGUCGUGAGAUGUUGGGUUAAGUCCCGCAACGAGCGCAACCCUUGUCGUUAAUUGCCAUCAUUUAGUUGGGCACUUUAACGAGACUGCCGGUGACAAACCGGAGGAAGGUGGGGAUGACGUCAAGUCCUCAUGGCCCUUAUGGGUAGGGCUUCACACGUCAUACAAUGGUCGGUACAAAGGGGUCGCCAAGCCGCGAGGUGGAGCCAAUCCCAGAAAGCCGAUCGUAGUCCGGAUCGCAGUCUGCAACUCGACUGCGUGAAGUCGGAAUCGCUAGUAAUCGUGGAUCAGAAUGUCACGGUGAAUACGUUCCCGGGUCUUGUACACACCGCCCGUCACACCAUGGGAGCGGGUUCCGCCAGAAGUAGGUAGCCUAACCGCAAGGAGGGCGCUUACCACGGCGGGGUUCGUGACUGGGGUGAAGUCGGAACAAGGUA
RNAcentral lists this ribosomal RNA (1332 nucleotides) under metagenome. RNAcentral describes it as "bacterial SSU rRNA". It matches the Rfam family "Bacterial small subunit ribosomal RNA", at positions 173 to 1498 of the family's 1533-position model. The record is from RNAcentral.